GAGUUUGAGACCCCUGAGUUAGAUCAUGUUUGUCACCAGUAGAGGGCAGACUCGUGUCUUUUCUGUAUUAGCCGUUCCUGAUUCUGUAACAUAAAAACCGUAUUGGAACCAUUAGGACCAUUAGAAGCUGUUUUUUGUAUCCGAGAACCUCUUGUCCCCAACCUUUAUGUUAUCUAUUCUCAACAGCAGGAUAAUGGUUGUUGGGUGUCAUUAGGUAAAUGUUAUGGUGAUGCCACUUGCCUGGGAUCACAUGCCAGAGUUGUAUCAUCCAGCACACUUGAAGGCACUUUUCUUUUUAUACAGGGCUCCAACUCUCCACUCUGCCUCGUCUCUCACUCCAACCUCACACGUGACUCUCUGGCACCUUUCGGUUGCCGCGUUGUGUGAGAACUUAGGGAAAGUGUGUUAGAUCUGUGCAGAGAUGUCUUAUCACCCCUGGCUCCACUGGAUCAAACUCACUGGCCCAGAUGCCAACUCAAGAGUGAAUUAUCGUUGAGAGGGUGCCUAAGAGAGAUGGAAAUAGACAGAGAGGAAAGAGGGGGGAGGUGAGAGGUAGAAAUGUGUUUUAUAGAGUGGGUGCCCUUUUUGUAUUGAUUAGCAUUGUUUUGGCUACAGAUGGAAAUUAAAUUGUUUUCUCUCUCCUUUAGUUCCCUCCUGACUUGCUUCUUUUUUUUUUACUCUUUGCACUUGCUGACCUUCUUCCCACUCAUUUUUCUACUGAGCUUAACCUGUGUAGGCAAUCUUCAUCACUAGCUGUAAGACUGAUUGCUUUACUCUCUCCUCAAGCAAUUACUUUUUUCGAAAAGUCACAGGUAAGUUUUGCUCAUUAGAUUUUCUAUCCACUAACUAAUCCUGACACAGCCCUCCAGAUCUCACCUAUGUCUCUGCAAAGUUCUUCUUAAAACAAUUGAUUUCCCCCCCCCAAACUCUUUAUCUGCUCAAUUGCUGGUCUAAUAUUCUUCUAUGAUAAUAGGAACCCAGACAGAGAUGCGUAAUCCACAAACGUGCAGUCAUUCCAGUCUCAUGCGCCUCACAGGUGUCAUGAUUUUGCAGAUAAGUAUUGGAAAUGAGACCACUUGACCUCGAAACGUGAUAGCGCUUUUGCAGUAGCGGCUCCUUUUCUCAACGCGUCUGGCUGUAUCAAUGGAGCCCACACGCAUGCACCGCAUGCAGCCCGCUUCGCCUUUAAAAACAUAUUGAUUUCUCUCUUUCACGGGGAGCUUAACGCGAUCGAUUGCAGGGGCCCUUUCAAGUAUAAGCAUCUCUUCCCCUAACGCACAUGCUGCCUUUUCCCCUCAGGUAAUGAUUGUCCUUGGUCUGGGGGAAUAGUUUGUCUGCAUUUAGAAGAAGUGUUUCUCUUUUCAUCCAAUCCAUCUCCCUCCUCCUUGUGUUACCAGCCCUGUGGUUAGGUAUGGAACAUGAAUUUACUUACUGAAAAAAAAAAAAAAACGAAUCAAAUGCAGAGCACACCUUCUUUGACCUUUUAUUAUUAAACGCUUUCAGAUUUAGCGCCUCCUUUUUCCACCUGUUAGUGGUUCCACAUCUUUGUGCAUCUGCAUUCCAGCAUGUACUCCAUUUUCUCUAAGGUUUUUAUGCAGACAUUUCCCACUUUAGAUGAAAUAAGAUGCUUCUUGUAGUGGCCUGCCAGUUUCUGACAUCAGUCUGAAUAAAGUACGACCCACACUUCACUUUCGUCUCGGUUGCUUGACAGCUUUCAUGUCUGCUUGUUUCAAGUCACCACAUAACAUCUAAAUGAGAUCAAGAUCUGGACUUUGACUAGAUCUAGGACUGUAUAGCUAAUGAUUCUCAGCAAGCCCUUGUUGGAUUUCUUGGCAUGUUUUGGGUUAUUGUCAGGCUGCAGGUUCUUGUUCUUUUUUCAGAUUUUCGAACUUUCCUCAGGAACAGUAGAUUCAUAGCGGAUUCUGUGAUGGCACACGGCCAGCAAAGCAUCUCCAAACCACGACACUUCCAAGUGAAGUAGUUCCAAUUUUCAGUAAAACUUUGAAAUCAUCUUCAUCACCUGAAGGUGACUAAAAGUUGAAUUGCUCUGUAAAUCUUGUGGAUGAUGUCAUUCAUUUCUUUAUUCUCUAUAAAUACUGUAAAACUUGGCAACAGCUCUGUUUUUCUCUGAGCACUCUUGUUGCUUUCUCAACAAGAGUGGAAGCAGCAAUACUGUCAUUUCCCACAUUUCCUGCAUUUUGAUUGCCUUUAUUUUAGUUCCUUUAUUUUAUUCCCUUGACUACGGUCUAAACACAACAUCCACUUCUGCUGCAAAAAUCAUUAAAGUAUGUUGUGAUUAACCUUCACGAUAAAUGAAAAACUAUCUUAACUAUCUAAAUAGAUAAUUGAAAAAUGUUUGGAGAGAAUAAAGCGAUUGUCCUCAGUUUUCUUAUUGAAUGAGUUUGUGUUCUUAGUGUCAAUGGGGGGGAAAAAUAACUUUCUUGAAUCAUUUAUAUGUCCUCCCUGCUCUUUGGAAACUCAGCUAUGAACGUGAAAUUCUCACUACAGAGUUUCAAGUAUUUGUGGUAUGAACAGGCUUUAACAUCAUUAACGCAAAUAUUUUAUAUGUAUAACAUAGUCUUUUUUCCCCCCAGUGCAUUCCAAAUUAUACAAUACCUUGCAAAGUAUUCAUAUUCUUUUAACCAUUUCAUAUUUUGCUAGAUUGCAACUGAAACACUUCUAUGUAUUUUAAUGGGAUUUUGUGUGAUAGAGGAACGUAAAGCAGAGUGCAGAUGUGAGGUCGAAUUUUAAAACGAUGAAUAGUUGCCAACCGUUCUACUAUAGAGCUGAAAGUAUGUUUGUUGUCAUCAUGCCAGAAGGUGAAGCCGGCCUCAAAUCUCUAACUGGUUUGUUCUGCAUUCAGCUCUUUCCAUCAUCCCAUAGACUCUGACCAGCUAAAUCAACCCUACAGCAUGACACCUCCACCACCUUGUUUCAGAAUGGAAAUUGUGUGCUCAGAAUAAUGCAUGGUGUUAGUUUUGCUUAACACAUGUCUGAAGAUUCUUCCAGAGCAGCUGUGGAUCUCUGCAGCUCCUCCAGAGUUACCACCGGCAUCUGUGAUUCUUCUCUGGUAAUGGUCUCCUUCCUGACCCAUCAGCGGAGGUAGGCGGCCAUGUUUGAACUCUGUUUGAUUCUAUUGCUAGCUGAGCAUAAUCGUUUGAGCUGGAUCUUAAUAAACGUAUAAAACAAAAGGGAUGUGAAAGUAAAUGAACACCACAGUUUUAGAUUUAUUUGUAGAAAAUAUUUAAAACUUAUAAUUUUCCUCCACUUCAGUUAUCCUCUGGUUUGUCUUGAUCUUUCAUAUAAUAUCCCAAUAAGACCAGGAGAUGUACAUGGUUCUAAUGUGAUCAAAUUUAAAAAAGUUCAAGGGGUAUAAAUACUUUGGCAAUUUGAUGUAUGUAGUCAUAAAAUGUACAGUUCCCUGUAGCCUUAGUUGAAGUAAACAUGCUUUAAAUCUCAUUUAUAAUUUAAAGCUCAGCUGAGUAUGCCUUGGGUUUUACCAUGAUUAAGACCUAAGUGUGCAGAUCUACUAAUGAUUUAAUUCAGAUGUUUGAGAUUUAUAAUGUUUUAAAUUCACAUGAUUUAUCUUGAGUCUGUGCUUUUCUCCCGAAAGUCGAGUGCUGCAUGUGAAACUCCUUGCAAUGUGCAGAACAAUUAAAUCUCUGCCGUGACAAGUGGUGCGUUCUCCUAUGCCCCCACUGGCCUACUAUCGACUCGCAGCUCUCUCUCACACCCCCGCUGCCCCCUUCCCGCCUCCUGCUGUCUCAACAAUUAAAUCAGUCAAGCUGACUCUCUUUCCUGUGUGCUGGGGGCCAGCAGAGGGGAAGUACACAAGGAAAGAAAAGCACUCCCUGAGUUCAAGUGCACAGGCUUUAAAGACACAGCUGGCUUCAGCAAACCCAACCGAUCGACGAGGGAAAAUCAGCCGUGGAAGGGCAGAAUAAUACACCACUGACAACGUGGUGGUGUACGUAGAUGCGGCCUGCUCCGAUUUUCUCAGCAACCCUUUCUGCAGCUCCAAGACUUUCCAUUUGUUCUCGGGUGAAGCAUCCGGUGGAACUGGUUGUGCAGAGCUCUGGCACAUGCUGUCCCAGAUACACACUCAGCAGCAGCAGCAGUGGAUCAGCGUGCCUCUCACUUUACCGCCUGUGACUUUAUCCGCUGCCUUUCCCCUCCAGCGCUCCUCCUCGCAGGACCGACUUCCUUUGUCCAUAAGGCAUGUUUUCCUUUCAAAGUGCUGAAUGCCAAGGGAUGAAGAACAGACAAAUGGUGUUUGGGGAGAAGAUAGGGAGGCAUCAAUGGAUAAAAUCUGACAUUACUGGAGUGCCAUGGAGAUGCCAGAGUGCAAAACGACUUUAAAAAAAAACACAAACGAGACUAAGAAUGAGGGAACGGAGAGGAAGAAUCAGAUUGGAGUCGGGAAAGAAGAAACUUUGGAAAAAAGCUGGCUUCAGCUCCAGCUUUACAAGGCGCAGGCCAUGAUGUAAGUGAUCUCAAGGUAACAUCUUUCCGGAAUAUUUCUGUGCAAUUUCUCGGCAUGAAAUAUUUCUACGCAAUACACAAACAGACACCCACAGAUUAGACGGCUGUAUUAAUGACAAUGGCUCAUGGGAAUUUGGCCAGACUGACCCUCAGGGAAAAUAAUUAAUUUAGGAAGAAAGAAAAAAAAAAGAUGGAAGGAAAUAAGAGAGGUAGAAGCCAAAGAAGGUUGCAGUCAGUGUGACUGUACAAUCUUUCCAGAUAAUUUAUGACCGUGCUGGAUAUUUUUUAUCUUUUGGGUGACAGGCAGGGGAUUAAAUAUGCACUCCGAAUGUCCAUAACAUAUUCAAGCUCUUGAUCUGAGAAUUUCUUUCCCGACAAAAGAUUUUGCCGAAGACGCUCGAUAAUCGCACGGGUACAAAAAGCUUAAAAGGCAGGACAUAUUCUGUGUGAUUAGUGCUGCUACUAAAUUUAGUCUGUUUAAUAAAGGCAAUUAGAUACUACUAUAGAUUUUACUUGUUUGAAAUUUCUGUCUAAAUGACUUUUCUUAUGUUUAAGUUGCAUUCUAAUAACAUCUGAUGUCUAUGUCCUGCUUUUAUUGUGUUUUGCUUUUUAUCUUUUUUAUCUUUUAAUGUAUGUCAAGUUUUUCUAGCACAUAGUUUUGAGAGUUCUUAAAAUGUUGA
Xiphophorus maculatus (southern platyfish) is the source of this 5162-nucleotide long non-coding RNA. RefSeq lists it as uncharacterized. The record is from RefSeq and is a predicted model, not a curated record. The transcript is spliced from 4 exons. NCBI's taxonomy places the organism in Eukaryota, Metazoa, Chordata, Actinopteri, Cyprinodontiformes, Poeciliidae.